This is a long non-coding RNA of Dendronephthya gigantea, 268 nucleotides long. RefSeq lists it as uncharacterized. The record is from RefSeq and is a predicted model, not a curated record. Lineage: Eukaryota; Metazoa; Cnidaria; Anthozoa; Malacalcyonacea; Nephtheidae. The transcript is spliced from 3 exons.
GCUUUAUCCCCAGAAUCUUCACUUUCAUGAAUUGGCCAUUCAAGAUUGAAUUUAUCUGCUCAUAAUAAAUGAUAUGCAGGGAAUCAAAGAUAUUUUCCAUUUUCAUUUAAGAUUUUAAAUGCUGAAACAUCCUGUGUGACAGAUGGUACAUUAAACAGUGUAUACAGAUUCGCAUUAAAAAUAAAAAUGUAAAACAGAUUGAUAAACGUGUCCAGAACAGACGAUUUUAUUCCUAUUGCUGGGCCAUAUUGUUGGUUAACGGGAACAG